RNAcentral lists this ribosomal RNA (911 nucleotides) under uncultured bacterium. RNAcentral's name for it is "bacterial SSU rRNA". It matches the Rfam family "Bacterial small subunit ribosomal RNA", at positions 81 to 1023 of the family's 1533-position model. The record is from RNAcentral.
AGUCUUCGGACUUAGUGGCGGACGGGUGAGUAACACGUGAGAACCUGCCCUCUGGAGGGGGACAACCGUUGGAAACGACGGCUAAUACCCCAUACGCCCUCGGGUGAAAGCUUUUGCGCCAGAGGAGGGGCUCGCGGUCGAUUAGCUAGUUGGUGGGGUAACGGCCUACCAAGGCAGCGAUCGAUAGCUGGUCUGAGAGGACGAGCAGCCACACUGGGACUGAGACACGGCCCAGACUCCUACGGGAGGCAGCAGUGGGGAAUUUUCCGCAAUGGGCGCAAGCCUGACGGAGCCGGACCGCGUGCGGGAAGACGGCCCUUGGGUUGUAAACCGCUUUUCUCAGGGAAGAAGUCAGUGACGGUACCUGAGGAAUCAGCCUCGGCUAACUCCGUGCCAGCAGCCGCGGUAAUACGGAGGAGGCAAGCGUUAUCCGGAAUUAUUGGGCGUAAAGCGUUCGCAGGCGGCUUGGCAAGUCUGCUGUCAAAGCCCGCGGCUCAACCGCGGAUCGGCAGUGGAAACUGUCAGGCUAGAGUGCGGUAGGGGUAGGGGGAAUUCCCAGUGUAGCGGUGAAAUGCGUAGAUAUUGGGAAGAACACCAGUGGCGAAAGCGCCCUACUGGACCGCAACUGACGCUCAGGGACGAAAGCUAGGGGAGCGAAAGGGAUUAGAUACCCCUGUAGUCCUAGCCGUAAACGAUGGAAACUAGGUGUGGCUCGUAUCGACCCGAGCCGUGUCGUAGCUAACGCGUUAAGUUUCCCGCCUGGGGAGUACGCGCGCAAGCGUGAAACUCAAAGGAAUUGACGGGGGCCCGCACAGGCGGUGGAGGAUGUGCUUUAAUUCGAUGCAACGCGAAGAACCUUACCACGACUUGACAUCCUGGCGAAUCUUGCGGAAACGCGAGAGUGCCUUCGG